CCCUUAGAUGUUCUGGGCUGCACGCGCGCUACACUGAUGCACUCAUCGAGUUUAUGACCUUGUCCGAUAGGAUUGGGUAAUCUUCUUAAAAUGCAUCGUGAUGGGGAUAGAUUAUUGCAAUUAUUAAUCUUCAACGAGGAAUUCCUAGUAAGCGCGAGUCAUCAGCUCGUGCUGAUUACGUCCCUGCCCUUUGUACACACCGCCCGUCGCUACUACUGAUUGGAUGUUUAAGCGAGGUUCUCGAACUGCUAGCGACUUAGCUUCGGUGAGGUCGCAGUGUGGGAAGUGAACCUAGCUUUGGUGUCUAGAGGAAGUAAAAGUCGUAACA
RNAcentral lists this ribosomal RNA (328 nucleotides) under uncultured eukaryote. Its description in RNAcentral is "partial 18S ribosomal RNA". It matches the Rfam family "Eukaryotic small subunit ribosomal RNA", at positions 1470 to 1796 of the family's 1831-position model. The record is from RNAcentral.